UGAGAAGCUUGAAUUUGAAAUCGGACUUCGCAAAUCAUGAAACUAGACCUUUCGAAAUAGAAAAUAGAACAUAGAUGAUGGCAUGAUGGCAUUGAAAUCAAAUGCUCCAACUAGAGCAUUCAUUCAACAAGUUUUAGUAAAGGAAUGGCUUGAGAGCUGCCACAAGGGGGAGCUACUGUCUGCUUUGAAGCAGCACUGGAAGUGUUAUGUACUGGUUGUAUUAGGACAUGGAUAUGACCCUGCCAAAGAGGACCGCCUGGCAGAAAAGUUUCUGUUCCGGCCUAUGGAGUAUUUCCUUUGUAAUGGUGACCCUGAAGUCAAGUUUAAGGAACUGAAGGAAAAGGACUGUCCAGCUCAGCUCUGUGGCAAAGUGUUUAAGUAUGGCGAGCCCACAUACUCAUGCAGGGAUUGUGCCAAUGACCCGACAUGUGUUCUGUGCAUAGACUGUUUCCAAAAAAGUGCUCACAAGAAACACAGAUACAAGAUGAGUACCUCAGGGGGAGGUGGGUACUGUGACUGUGGCGACAGUGAAGCCUGGAAGACCGCACCAUUCUGUAGUAACCACAAGGCUAAACAGCAGGAAACCUCUGGAGGGGAGAACCCUAUGGAGAAGCUGCCAGAUGAGCUAACAGACCGAGCCAGUGCCCUACUGAUGGCCGUGCUGCGUUACACGAUGGAGAUGCUGACAUGGGACCAGUGUGACAACCUGCCCCCAGACCUCCAGCCGGAGGGAGAACUCGAAGACAGCUACAUCACCAUGCUAUUCAACGAUGAAGUUCACACUUACGAACAGGUGAUCGUCGCUCUACAGAGGGCUGUGGAUUGUACCCAGAAAGAGGCUGUCGAGUUCGCUACCACUGUGGACAGAGAGGGAAGAAGCAAUGUGAGGAGUGGCAAUUUUUCUUCUUGUGAAAAAGCUCGCAAUGUAAUAGAGCAUAACACCUCCCGUCAUGGUAACAAGCCCCUGAAGGUACAGGUGAUGCACACUAUCGUGGUAGCCCACCAGGCAUUUGCCUUGAAAGUCAUCCAGUGGUUGCAGACCAUCAUUGCUAAGUCAGAUGGACUACGCCACUUGUUCUGUGUCCUGAGCAUGCAGCCCCAGGAGGACGGCCAGUCUAUCAUGGAGAAGCUCCUUCUGAUUGAUACACAGCUGUGGAAAGUGGCGAGGGUAAACAACCACCAACUUAUCAUGGCAGGUGUGUUAAUGGAUCUGGAGUGUAAAAAACAGUUUGCUAUUCUCUUCACCAAGUGGUACAGACAAUUGAUGAGUGACUUUACACGGGACGAUCAUGACCACGAUGUGUGUGUAGCCUCCCUCUCUGUGCAAAUCUUUACGGUAACCAGUCUGGCACGGAUGUUGGUUACGGAACACAACCUGCUUGAUGUCAUUAUGCAGUCCUUCCUCAAGUGUUGUGAGGAGAAGAAAAAUAACGAGGGGAAGCUGGCUUUUGACCGUGGGGAUAGGAAUCAAGCUUUUAAGAGAGCCUGCUACAUGCUGUAUGAUAUGAAAUAUGCCCUCACCUGUAAACCAUCAGAGGAGGAGUGGACAGAUAAGUUGAGAGAAAAUUUCCUCAAGGGUUUACGAUCUUUCCUGUCUCUUCUCAAAAUGAUGCAGAGUAUGGAUGCAGUCAUCCGACAGACCGGUACCCACCUGGAGUACGAGCCUGAGUGGGAGGGAGCAUUUAACUUACAGCUCAAACAAGAUGAUAUCAUCGCUGAGUUCAUCAACUGGUGUGGCCAGGAUAAAGAAACCCUGAUAGGUGCUUACAAGAUCACCAUGGAGAUUUUGUCACAGUGUAAAGACAAACCAGCAACGGUGAAGCAUAAGUUCAAAACAGUGGCGGGAUUCAAGGCCAAGUGUGUGCAGUACGAUGUGUCUAGUCAACAUGUGUCCAUACACCUCCCACUCACACGGUUCAUGGCAGGACUCCACCUACAUCUUGAGAAGCAUGGUCUCAACUUCAACUCUCCAGAACUGGCCAUGGAUAGUUUGACUCCAGUGGACCUGAUAGAACCACCCCUUCGAGUGCUGGUGAUGAUUGCUCAAACCCAGGCUAACAUGUGGCGCCGCAAUGGAUACGGACUUCUCAACCAGAUAUUUUUCUAUCACAAUGUGAAAUGUCGAAGGGAGAUGUAUGACAAAGAUAUUGUUAUGCUGCAGGUGGGAGCCUCUGUGAUAGACAGCAAUGAAUUCCUGAUUCAUCUACUUAACAAGUUUAAUCUGCUGGCCUGGGCCAAUCCAGAGUAUGAUGUGCCAGGAAGUCAAGAAGACAUGAUUAAACAGACAGUGACUUUAGCAGAGGAAUUCCUCAAUAUCCUCAUCAUUAUCAUAGGCGAGCGCUAUGUGGAGGGCAUUGGUAACGUGACAAGUGAAGACACAGUUCAAAGGGAGAUCAUCCACCAGCUGUGUAUAUCACCCAUGGCCCACAGUGAGCUGUCCAAGGCUCUCCCUGAGGAUAGCAAUCAUGAGACUGGCAUUGAACAGGUUAUCGACCAAGUCUCUACAUUCAAGAAGUCAGCAUCAAACUCUUCAGGGCGAUUUGAACUGAAGAAAGAGUCGUACCAAGAAUAUAGCAAGUACUUCUAUCACUACAGCCGUGCUGAGCAAUCUAAGUCAGAGGAGGCCCAGAUAGAGAGAAAGAAGCAUGAAAAUGAAGGUCAAGCCCUGCCACCUCCAGUCCCCCAGGAAUUUAAGCAGAACUUUCAGCCUAUUACCAACCUUCUUCAGUGCGACUUAAUGCUGUACUUGAUGCACCUGUUACUGCAGAGGACAGCUGCCAAACGGUCAAGAUCUUGGUCAGAGGGACAGCUGGACAGGAUCUUAUAUAUCAUUGGUCUGGCCCUGUUGGAACAGAGGAGAGCUAUCACCGAGGGAGACAACUCAUUCAACUUCUUGUCCAAAGCCCUUGAUGAUGAAAAGAACAUAAUGAGCAUAAUGGAAGGACUGGUUGGCAGUGCCAAUUUGACCCAUGAAUCAACCAAAGAUCUUCUAACAUGGACACUUAAGCUAUUUUUGGAAGUGCGUAAAAUGAAAAAUGACCCCGUCAGUAUGGACACAUUAGACCAACUCUCCAGUUGUACCAACCAAAAUCAUGAUGAAACAAAGAAACUGAAGGCCAAGAUGGCUGCCAAACGACGUGCAAAAAUCAUGGCGCAGAUGUCAACAAUGCAGAAAAACUUUAUCAAAGAAAAUGCCGAGUUAUUCCAGAGUGCUGAAGCUGAACUGAGUCGGACAUCAUCUGAUAUGGACAUUAGUGAUCUCCAGAGUGGAGGCUUCCCCGUGGCUCUGGGAAAGAAGAGGAGUAAGGUGGUCAGUCCUGUUCCCUGUAAAGGAAUGUGUAUUUUGUGUCAGGAAGAACAGGAAAUCAAACACAGUGGCCGUGCAAUGGUCCUGGCAGCAUUCGUACAGAGGUCUACGGUGCUAUCCCAGUGUCGGAGUAAGGUUAUAUCUAAGGAAGACAACCAUGACUACCUGUUCAGUCCUUCUGAUCUCACUACAGGCACUUACACUAGCUCCUGUGGCCAUGUGAUGCAUUUUGACUGUUGGCAGAGGUUUUUCGAUGCCGUGGUGAUGAAGGAGAGGAGGCGGCCAAUACGGUUCCGUUCCAACCUGAGUUAUAACAUCGACCAGAAUGAGUUCCUGUGCCCUCUCUGUGAAAGUAUAAGCAACACUGUGAUACCUGUUGUUCCUUCUCUACCUUCUCUUAUCCAAGACAGCAAUAAAGAUAAUGUAAACCUGACAUUCAAUGACUGGCUGGACGGUCUACAUAAAUCUGUUCAAAGUAGUAGAAAGGACAAGGAGGACAAGGAGGCCAAAGACAUGGUCGCCUAUGAGUUUGAGCCUUCUCCUCUACAUGCAAUAACCAAGAUGAUGGCUGAGAGUGUGGCCAUUAACUUCAAGCUUCUGUGGCAGACGUUCCAAAACGACAGUACCCUAUUUGCUCAAAGUUUGACUGAUAUGGUGAAGAAGUUUGGCAGGGAUGUCUACUCGUUUGGUUUGAAUGUGGAACCUGAUGAUGGAAAUGUGAGAGUACCUCUCAUAGCUUGGUCAUCUUGUGCCUUCACUUUACAGUCCAUAGAACAACAGCUCAACAUGGAAGAGAAACCCCUGUUUGGAUCACUGUCCUCACGCCAGUCUGACUGCCUCGCCUCUCUUAUCAAGUUCGCCUGUGUCUUCAGUCAAGUGAUCCCUCAGGACCUAGUCAAGCAGCACUGCCUACGACUGCUUUCUGCUCUAAUGCCUGAGAAAGAGAAGAAAAGGAAGGAUGGCCAGAGUUUACUGGACAUUGACAUGUUUGACUACCUGCUGACCUUGACUGUGACCUUGCCGUCACUGUAUGCAGAUAGUCGGGUUCCUUCUAUGAGUUCUAUACCUACAGGCGGGCUGGGGGAUCAUCACACCCUCCAGCUGGUGCUGACUGCUCAUAUAGUCCAGAUAAUGCUCACCUGUGAUAUACCCUCUCAAGGAAUGAUGGAGAUAGAAGCUGAUAGCGAAGGUGAAGCCUUACUCAGGAUCUACACUCAUAUCAGGAAAGAGGCUAAGAUGGAAGGAGAGAACCAACCUCAACCCUGGCAACUCAGCCAGUACCUACGGAAAGCAUGUCUGCCAUUCCUGCGAUGUGCAGCCCUACUGUAUCGACAGAUCACAGAGGUACCAGCUCCCAGCAGUCUUCAAGAGUUGGAGGAUGAUGAGUUUGAGCCACUCUGUCGUUACCUGGCUCUCCCUCAACACUUGUCUACGCUGUUUGAAAGUCAGGGAGAUAUCAUCAACAGCUUGGUCAAACAGUGGUGCCACAAUGACAAUAUUGGCAGUCAGAUGAUGACGGCCAGCAGUGAGAAGGUCGUCUGUUACCCACUUAAAGUUAACCGGUUGGUCACGCUGCCUGAGGAUUACAGUGAACUCAUCAACGAGGUCUCAUCUUUCACCUGCCCCAAGUCUGAUGGUGAUGAGAGUCGAGCACCCACUAUGUGCCUGGUGUGUGGUAAGAUGCUGUGUUCUCAAAGCUAUUGCUGUCAGGCUGAUGUGGAUGGAACCACAUGUGGAGCUGCUACAGAACACACAGUUUCAUGUGGUGCCGGCAUUGGAAUAUUUCUCAGGGUGAGAGAAUGUCAGAUUCUACUUCUGGCAGGUAAAUCUAAAGGCUGUUUUGUACCAUCUCCUUACCUGGACGUGUAUGGGGAAACAGAUCAGGGUCUCAGGCGUGGGAAUCCUCUGACGUUGUGUAGGACGAGUUAUAAAGCCCUGGAGAAACUCUGGUUCACCCACUCCAUCCCAGAGACUAUAGCUCACAACCUGGAAUCUCACAGUAACCUCCUCACCAUUGACUGGCAGCAUCUAUGACGGCUGUGAUUUAGAUAUUGGAUUGUUUGACUCUCUUCUUCCGUGUACUGCUCAGGACUGUAUCGGUGACCUUCAAUGAACCAAUGCCCACUGAAAAUUUGUGAUCAUUUAUAUGGUAUAUUGGUUUGUGGCACCUCGUAACUGCUACGGAAUUUCUGAGAUGCAGUACGUAUACCCUUUAGGGAUGUUUGACAUUUGACAGCUAAUGCCUGCAGUGAUAAAAAUAAAUCACCGGAAGUUUUGCUUAUUGAUAUUUUCGCUAGCGAUUUCUACCUCUAUUUAAAGGGACAACUGGUACAUUUUGUUCUAGACACACACAGUAAUCACUGAUACUGUAUUGAAUGUUUUGGUAUUGGUAGUCCUUACCUGGUAGUUGGUAGACGGCCAAUAUUUAUACAUACCAACUCUGGGUAAAUAUGCAUGUAUAGUGGGUGAAUAAGCACGAAUAAAUACAUGCCACACAAAUUUAAGAGAUUAAUUAAUAUAACUGAGUUCUUUUAAUUUCUUUUACCACAGUAUAGUACACUGUGAUAUUUAACUAUUUAUCACACUUCAUACCACAAUACACCUAGAACAAUAUCUGUGACUUUGACUAUUGUUGAUUUAUGCAGAAGUCUACUUGAUAUGAUAGGAAUUCAAUAGAAAUUUAGUUUUUGUUUGUUUAUUUGCAUACCUGCUUUGCCUUGAUAUAUUGAUUUCUGGAAAUUGUGGAGCAUAUAUGUACACAGCAUAAUACAUAUAUAGUGCAUAACUUUGUAUCAGUCCUCUGUGAAGAACUGGUAAUGCUGCACGCCUAAAGAUACUACAUGAAGUGAGCAGUCAUUAAUUAACGAUGUUCGUAAAAAGAUUAACUUAUUGAUUAAUUAAAGUUAUGUAAUAUGGGUAAUACAUAUUAGGUGGCAUAGUACCUACUUCAGGUAUUGUGAGAAAUAGGAAAAUUGUUCUGUUUAUUUCAUUGUAAUGGAAGCCUAUUAUUAAUUUGUCUUUGGCUUUAUAAUAAUAAAUUGGUAUCUCUUGGAGUUGAACAGAGUGCUGAGAGGGUGUGCACUUCUGGGGAACUGUGAUACGGGCCGGGACAUAUACCAAUAUAAUAAAGGGACACUUUUGGAGAAUAUAGGUAUGGCCAGGGACCUACACCGAGACAAUGGAGGGACCCAAAGGGGAGUAGAGGUACAGGCAGGGACCUACACCCAGACAAUGGAGGGACCCUAAGGGGAGAAGAGGUACAGGCAGGGACCAACUCCCAGACAAUGGAGGGACCCUAAGGGGAGUAGAGGUACAGGCAGGAACCUAUAUCCAGGCAAUGGAGAGAACCUAAUGAGGAAUAGAGGGCAGGGACCUACACCCAGACGGGGAAUACACAGGCUAGGGUUGUGUACUGUUACAGCACAGAUAGACUUGCUGGAAUCCACACUGAUAUUCUAUACUGCACUUCAAUCUAGAAAUAACUUGUAACCCUAGUACCCUGUAAUUGGACUAUACUUUAAAAGUGUAAAACAACAAUAACUAUGUAAGUUGUAUGAACAUGUUAUUGCUAUCAUGACAUCAUGUGUUACUUUUUGCCAAUAUUUGUAAUUUAUCUUUAGUCUAAUUUUACGUUUUGCAAUUUCGUAGAUAUCAAUAUUUGAUAAAUCAAUGAUAGUAAAUGAAAUCAAUUAUGUGGAUUCUGGUAACCUGUCAAUAUUUGAAAGAACAACCUGGAAUGUUUUGCCCCAUUUGUACUCCCGAGUUUACCACUAAGAUUGUUUUAUCUCGAAGACACAAUAACUCAGGACUUGUGUGUGUUAUACCAUGGCACUGUGCAAAUUGUGGCCCGAAAUUAUCACUGAAUCUGUUUACUUCUUCUACAUAUUACUCUGGAAUUUGGUGUGUUAUGCUUGGUUCUGUGCUAGCUGUGACCACAGACAUAACACCCAAUAAUUUAUGAGAUUUAGCCCUUCAGUUUAUCACAAAGGUCACUAUAUCUCAGGACAUAGAUUCAUUUUAAGUGCUAUUUUGUCUUUACCAUAGUGCAUUAUUUGAGUUACUUGUACAUGCCACUAAUGUUUGUUAUAUUCGUGAACUUCAUGUACUAAAUCAUAUAUAUUGGACUUGGGGACUUGAAUAUUUUUGUUUGUUUGAACUCUUAUUUUAGGGUGCUUUGUUUAAGAUAGUCUUGAUAAGUUAAACAGUUUUGGUUACUGAGAAACUCUACAACAAAAGUAAGUGAAAAUGUGGAGUUAAUUCCUAUGUUAAGGUUAAGCGAUUCAGAUUCAAUGUACAGGUAUGUCUGACUGGCCUUAGAGAGCCCUUUUCUUUGUCAAUUCAGUUUGGCACAAGAGUGCCCCUGCAGACUCCCAGACCCUCCAGUCCUUUAGACACCAGAGAGCUCUUUGAAAAUUAUCUUGUUUGUUUUUUAAAUGCGUCAUCAAAAUUCAGAUAAGUAUUCCCAAAUAUUUAACGACAGUAUGAAAGAAAAACAUUCUUUCAAAUCCCAGAUAGAGUCAGAAUGAGUAUCACUUAAAGCGGGACUCGGGGAUGUUUGAAUAAAGGAAAGAAAGAGAAAUUCAGUGAUAAAAUCGCUGGAAAGAAAAGUGCUUUUCUCCACAGUGGUUUGUUUAACAAAAAAUGUGCCAAAUUAAAAGUUAAAUAAUAUAAAAAAGUAAAGUACAUCAAAUGACCAAAGAGAAUGCCAAUCAUUGGGUGUAACUCAAAGUGAUCCAUAUAAAUAACCUCAAUGAUGUUCACUGUAUUCUGAAACUGCCAUUAUCCGUCACAGAUGUUUAUACUUAUUUUGUAGUUUCAACCAACUCUCUAUAUGAACGUAAAACUAGAAGUAGAAACAUCUCACUUUUAGGAAUAUAUAUACAUGUAAUAACAUUAUCAAGCUUGAAUUAUGUAAUCUAUAGAUGCUUCUUCAUUUUGGUUCGGUUUCUUGAAACAUCUGAACAUUUACCCCCCUAUUAUUCUGAUGUAAUCUAAAGCAUGUUUGUGACACCAAGGCCUUGUACUACCAUGAUGUUAUAGAGUCAGAUCCAUGUAACAGGUUAGGUAACUUUCCAGUCAGUGAAUGAAAGUGCCCUCUUGGCUAUCCUAAUACAUUUAAAAGCCGAGGAAUAUGCAUGUGUGUAUUGAAUUUAAUUUAUUUUUAAAGAAAUAUUGUUUUAAUGAUUAUGUUGUUAAAUGAUAUGGACAAUAAACUGCAGUACAAUUUCUCUGACUAUUUCUGGUAGGGCGGUGCACACUGUUUUAUCACAUGCUGUGAAGCCUGUUAGUGUGAAUUUUAAAUGGGGAUGGAAGUGUUGGAGAUUGAAUUAAGUGCUGGUCCCCACUAGCAGGACUGGAGUAGGCUCUGACUACUAGGAUUGAAGCACAUGUUAAGGUUGCGUUUGUUUACUUAAAAAGCGUGGGCCUACUAUUAUUAUGUUAUAUGAGAAUACAGUGUUGUAGGUUACAUGUGUACAUAUUAAACUAUGCCUUUAUUAUGGCUUCCUC
Molecule: unclassified non-coding RNA, 8815 nt
Filed under: Mizuhopecten yessoensis (Yesso scallop)
Lineage: Eukaryota; Metazoa; Mollusca; Bivalvia; Pectinida; Pectinidae
Description: e3 ubiquitin-protein ligase UBR2-like, transcript variant X1
Source: RNAcentral